GUCCCGCAACGAGCGCAACCCCUGUUGCCAGUUACACGUGUCUGGCGAGACUGCCGGUAUCAAGCCGGAGGAAGGUGGGGACGACGUCAAGUCAGCAUGACCUUUAUGUCCAGGGCUACACGCACGCUACAAUGGUCGGUACAAUGAGUUGCCAAGCCGCGAGGCGGAGCUAAUCUCAGCAAAACCGGCCUCAGUUCGGAUUGGAGGCUGCAACCCGCCUCCAUGAAGUUGGAGUUGCUAGUAAACGCCGGUCAGCUAUACGGCGUUGAAUACGUUCCCGGGCCUUGUACACACCGCCCGUCACGUCAUGGGAGCUGGUAACACCUGAAGUCGGUGAGCUAACCCGCAAGGGAGGCAGCUGCCGAGGGUGGGACCGGUGACUGGGACGAAGUCGUAACAAGGUAACCAAGGGC
Molecule: ribosomal RNA, 413 nt
Filed under: uncultured Chloroflexota bacterium
Lineage: Bacteria; Bacillati; Chloroflexota
Description: bacterial SSU rRNA
Rfam family: Bacterial small subunit ribosomal RNA
Source: RNAcentral